CUUUUGUGCUUCAAAAUUUCUUUGUUGAUACUAUGAUAAUAUAUAUAGAGGGUGGAUGGAUUCUUGGAGGGGUACAGUCUGAGUUUCUUUGCUAGAAUUUUGUUCAUAGAGUACUAAAUACUCGCCAUUGCAUCCCCUCGCCAUUAUUGCAUCCCCACCAGAUGUGAAAUGUUUUGUCUAUUUCAAGGAGGCAAGUUUAGAACACUUUGACAAAUUUUACCUUAUUGUAAUCCCAAAUAAUUUUAAAUCCUUUCCCUUCCCUCCACUCCAUCCCCCCAAAAUUUCUAGAACAAGAAUCGGUUACCUUUUACCUUUCAACACUAAAAAAGAAAACAAAACAAUACAAAUUAUAUCUACUUGUUGAAAAGUUUAGAGAGUCACAAUAGAUAAAAUGUAGAAUUUAGGAGGGUUGCCAUUUCUUUUCGCUAUCUCUGAAGAUUGUAUUUGUUUCUCUCUUUUUGGAGGGCAUUUUCCUCUCCUUCCUUCAUUUCUUCCUUCCCCUUCAUUUUUUUUUCUUCCUUGAAUCCUCAUGAAAGAGAUUCAUCAGAGUUGGUGCACAAUUUCCAACAAAUCCAAAAUCUAGAUCUUUAAGUCUCUGGUUCUGGGGUUUCAGAUGCACCAGAAUGCCCCUGCUUUGGGCAGAAAAGAUAUUUGUCUGCAGCAGGCUCUGGAGCCAGGCCUCCCAUCCAGGGAUCCUCUGUCUCUAUGCCUCUGUCUCUAUUCCACUGCCAGCCAUGAGUUUUUUGAGGACAGCACCUAACUUUCUGCCUUUCCUAAGGGUUUUUUUCUACUGCCUUGUGCCCCUGCCAGAUCCCCCUGAGCUCACUUGCAUUGAUUCAUGAAAAUCAUUGAUAUCUAAGCUUUUUUUCUUUAUUCCACUGCUUAUACAUAGUAAGCAUGGGGUAACUUUUCUGAAAAGUUAAAUCAAAAAGGUGAGUUAACAGGCUAUUGGAUGUAUAGUGCCCAUUACUCUUGGCUGAGGGAAAGAGCAUUCUAAGCAAUAAUUUUAAAUCCUUUUCACUGAGUACCUUGAAGCAAUGAAAGGAGUAAGAAAAGCAAGCUCGGUGGAGAGCAUUAGGCAAUUAUCAUUGAAAAUUAUUUAAGCUUAAAUAACUAAAAUAAUUUAUUCUAUAAAAAUCAUACGAAGUAGUGGAAAGGAUUCUGCACGGUCAAUUUGCUUUCUCAUGUAGCAGCUGAAGAGGUAAGCAAAAAAUGUUGAAUUCUAAAAGUCUCAACUUAGUGAAUUAAUAUAGAUUUGCGGGUGGCAUUAAAUACCCAAAGAUGAUGAUGAGUCAUUGCAGCAAGUGGAUUGGCAAAUGGGAUUAAAUGAUUUUCACUGAUACAAAAACAUAAUAAAAUGAAAGCAUUGAGUUCCACACAAAUGAUGACCUUCUCUGCCACUUCCACAAUAAAAUGAACACUUUUCCAAUAUUUAUAGAGAAUCACUAGGGAACAGUGGUUAAGAACAUGGACUUGGGAGACAGCCCACCUAAGUUUGAAUUGUAUUUCUGCCACUUCAAGGUACAGGUCCUUGGGCAUAUCAACAAAACACCAUGUGCCUUGGUUUCCUCCUCUGUAAAUUAGGGCAGUGUGUGAGUUACUCAUGUAAGUGCUCUGAAUAGGGCCUGGCACACAGGAAGUACUAUGUAUUAGCUAUUACACAUGCAUUCUUUGGUUGUUGGGUAGCUCUGUCUUUGCCCCAGCUGUCUUUGGGACUGUGAGCUGUGGAGGAAUCGCAUCCUCAGCCCGCACACUGUGGUGGUCCUCACCAUACUUGGAAUGUGGGGAAAAUCAUGUGUAUUUAUGGCGGGAGGGGAGGAGCAUCUUCUCAUCUCACUCCCACUGCUCAGGAUGCUCCUAUCCAUGUGAAGGGGGCUAGUAAUCACUUGUUCCUGCCCUGGAGACUCUACCAACAAAGAUUUUGAGCACCUUUCGUGUGCCUGCCCCUGGUGAGGUGUUGGUGAUACUGAGAUUGACAGGCACUGCCUGCUCUGGAGGUCGCAGUGAGACAUAGUGUGAGGCAAACAGACAGAGGAGGGCACAAGAGGCCAUGAGAGCCCAUGGAAUACACCAACUGGACUUCGGAAGGAUCAGGAAAGACUUCAUCCAGAAGGUGACAUAUUUAAUUGAAUGUUAAAUAAUUGAUAGGAUUCUCUAGAUAGAUAAGGAGGGAUGGAGUAAAAGAAAGCAAGCACCCAAGUGCCUAGAAUGUGACUAGUUUAGGGAAUAGUAGGUCAUGCUCUAUGGAUCUUAUCCCAGUAUUGGGUUAACCCUCUGGCAAGAGUGUGGCUAUUCCAUAUGACCUCUUUCUAGUUAAGAAGACGGAGUUAAUUCAAGCUUGGUGAGUGGACCACAGGCUGCAUCAGUAUCUACUGUUCCCAGGCUGGGCACUCUAUGCUUUAGUUCUAUAAUCUAGCUCCUAUAGCUUUGCUACAACAUGCUGUUGACUUUCUCCUUGUGGUUAAGAACUACAUGUGACUCCUCUCUCUAUAUCAUCUGAAACUGGAUCUCAGUUGGGGUUCUCAGACCAACAGCAUCAGAAUUGUAUAAAGAGUGUAUUUAAAAAUGCAAAUUUCAACCAGUGGUCCAAGAUGGCAGCAUGGGAAGAUCCUGAACUCACCUCCUUCCAUGGCAUAAAAACAGACACAUAGAUCAAUGAAACAGAAUAGAGAUCCCAGAAAUAAACCCAUGCAUAUAUGGUCAAUUAAUUUACAACAAAGGAGGCAAGAAUAUAUCAUGGGGAAAGGAUGGACUCUUUAAUAAAUGGUGUUGGGCAAACUGUCCAGCCACAUGCAAAAAAAAAAAAAAAAAAAAAGGAAACUGAACUACUAUCCUACAUCAGACCUAAAAAUUAUCUCAAUCUGGAUUAAAAACUUGAACAUAAGACCAGACACCAUAAAACUCCUAGAAGAAAACAUAGGUGUUAAGCUCCUUGACAUCACUAUUGGUGAUGAUUUUUAAAAUCUGACUCCAAAGCAAUGGAAACAAAAUAAAAAAUAAACAAGUGGGAUUACAUCAAACUAAAACGUUUCUGCACAG
RNAcentral lists this long non-coding RNA (3039 nucleotides) under Canis lupus familiaris (dog). RNAcentral describes it as "lncRNA (ENSCAFG00845016665.1)". The record is from RNAcentral. Lineage: Eukaryota; Metazoa; Chordata; Mammalia; Carnivora; Canidae.